This 468-nucleotide ribosomal RNA is filed under the name uncultured bacterium. Its description in RNAcentral is "partial 16S ribosomal RNA". It matches the Rfam family "Bacterial small subunit ribosomal RNA", at positions 28 to 507 of the family's 1533-position model. The record is from RNAcentral.
GACGAACGCUGGCGGCGUGCUUAACACAUGCAAGUCGAACGGAAAGGCCCUGCUUUCGUGGGGUGCUCGAGUGGCGAACGGGUGAGUAACACGUGAGUAACCUGCCCUUGACUUUGGGAUAACUUCAGGAAACUGGGGCUAAUACCGGAUAGGAGCUCCUGCUGCAUGGUGGGGGUUGGAAAGUUUCGGCGGUUGGGGAUGGACUCGCGGCUUAUCAGCUUGUUGGUGGGGUAGUGGCUUACCAAGGCUUUGACGGGUAGCCGGCCUGAGAGGGUGACCGGCCACAUUGGGACCGAGAUACGGCCCAGACUCCUACGGGAGGCAGCAGUGGGGAAUAUUGCACAAUGGGCGGAAGCCUGAUGCAGCAACGCCGCGUGCGGGAUGACGGCCUUCGGGUUGUAAACCGCUUUCGCCUGUGACGAAGCGUGAGUGACGGUAAUGGGUAAAGAAGCACCGGCUAACUACGUG